RNAcentral lists this ribosomal RNA (1383 nucleotides) under uncultured bacterium. RNAcentral describes it as "16S ribosomal RNA". It matches the Rfam family "Bacterial small subunit ribosomal RNA", at positions 20 to 1397 of the family's 1533-position model. The record is from RNAcentral.
UGGCUCAGGAUGAACGCUAGCUACAGGCUUAACACAUGCAAGUCGAGGGGCAGCAUUUCAGUUUGCUUGCAAACUGGAGAUGGCGACCGGCGCACGGGUGAGUAACACGUAUCCAACCUGCCGAUAACUCGGGGAUAGCCUUUCGAAAGAAAGAUUAAUACCCGAUGGUAUAAUCAGACCGCAUGGUCUUGUUAUUAAAGAAUUUCGGUUAUCGAUGGGGAUGCGUUCCAUUAGGCAGUUGGUGAGGUAACGGCUCACCAAACCUUCGAUGGAUAGGGGUUCUGAGAGGAAGGUCCCCCACAUUGGAACUGAGACACGGUCCAAACUCCUACGGGAGGCAGCAGUGAGGAAUAUUGGUCAAUGGGCGCAGGCCUGAACCAGCCAAGUAGCGUGAAGGAUGACUGCCCUAUGGGUUGUAAACUUCUUUUAUAUGGGAAUAAAGUUUUCCACGUGUGGAAUUUUGUAUGUACCAUAUGAAUAAGGAUCGGCUAACUCCGUGCCAGCAGCCGCGGUAAUACGGAGGAUCCGAGCGUUAUCCGGAUUUAUUGGGUUUAAAGGGAGCGUAGGUGGACAGUUAAGUCAGUUGUGAAAGUUUGCGGCUCAACCGUAAAAUUGCAGUUGAUACUGGCUGUCUUGAGUACAGUAGAGGUGGGCGGAAUUCGUGGUGUAGCGGUGAAAUGCUUAGAUAUCACGAAGAACUCCGAUUGCGAAGGCAGCUCACUAGACUGCAACUGACACUGAUGCUCGAAAGUGUGGGUAUCAAACAGGAUUAGAUACCCUGGUAGUCCACACAGUAAACGAUGAAUACUCGCUGUUUGCGAUAUACAGUAAGCGGCCAAGCGAAAGCAUUAAGUAUUCCACCUGGGGAGUACGCCGGCAACGGUGAAACUCAAAGGAAUUGACGGGGGCCCGCACAAGCGGAGGAACAUGUGGUUUAAUUCGAUGAUACGCGAGGAACCUUACCCGGGCUUAAAUUGCAACAGAAUAUAUUGGAAACAGUAUAGCCGUAAGGCUGUUGUGAAGGUGCUGCAUGGUUGUCGUCAGCUCGUGCCGUGAGGUGUCGGCUUAAGUGCCAUAACGAGCGCAACCCUUAUCUUUAGUUACUAACAGGUUAUGCUGAGGACUCUAGAGAGACUGCCGUCGUAAGAUGUGAGGAAGGUGGGGAUGACGUCAAAUCAGCACGGCCCUUACGUCCGGGGCUACACACGUGUUACAAUGGGGGGUACAGAAGGCGGCUACCUGGUGACAGGAUGCUAAUCCCAAAAACCUCUCUCAGUUCGGAUCGAAGUCUGCAACCCGACUUCGUGAAGCUGGAUUCGCUAGUAAUCGCGCAUCAGCCAUGGCGCGGUGAAUACGUUCCCGGGCCUUGUACACACCGCCCGU